AGUGAACGCUGGCGGCAGGCCUAACACAUGCAAGUCGAACGGCAGCACAGUAAGAGCUCGCUCUUACGGGUGGCGAGUGGCGGACGGGUGAGGAAUACAUCGGCAUCUACUUUUUCGUGGGGGAUAACGUAGGGAAACUUCCGCUAAUACCGCAUACGACCUACGGCUGAAAGCAGGGGAUCUUCGGACCUUGCGCGAUUGAAUGAGCCGAUGUCGGAUUAGCUAGUUGGCGGGGUAAAGGCCCACCAAGGCGACGAUCCGUAGCUGGUCUGAGAGGAUGAUCGGCCACACUGGAACUGAGACACGGUCCAGACUCCUACGGGAGGCAGCAGUGGGGAAUAUUGGACAAUGGGCGCAAGCCUGAUCCAGCCAUACCGCGUGGGUGAAGAAGGCCUUCGGGUUGUAAAGCCCUGUUGUUAGGAAAGAAAAGCAGCAGAUGAAUACCCCGCUGUUCUGACGGUACCCAAAGAGUAAGCACCGGCUAACUUCGUG
Molecule: ribosomal RNA, 492 nt
Filed under: uncultured bacterium
Lineage: Bacteria
Description: partial 16S ribosomal RNA
Rfam family: Bacterial small subunit ribosomal RNA
Source: RNAcentral